Molecule: long non-coding RNA, 510 nt
Organism: Lycium barbarum (goji berry)
Lineage: Eukaryota; Viridiplantae; Streptophyta; Magnoliopsida; Solanales; Solanaceae
Exons: 3
Source: RefSeq, a predicted model, not a curated record
ACACUAUGUACUUCUCUCUUCUUUUUUUCUAGAGCAGUUUCUUCUCCUUCUUUUUCUUCGGAGGGUGGAGUGGGGGGACUGCAUGUGAUACACAUUUCGUGAAUCUAGAUCGCUAUUUUUUUUUUACUGACAUAUGCAAUGGCGUUCAACACAAACAUCAAAGGUCUUCUCGCGGGUCUAACAUUAGUUAUCACCUCUACAUCCUUCUGGCAACUGAAUUCACAGAUCGAUGGUGUGGAAGAGAAUUUGUUCUUCAGAUUUCUGACAAACCAUAGAGGAGACAGAACGUUAUCAGUGGAUAAAGGCGACCAAUGAUCUGACGUUAAAUAUUCUGGAAGACCAGACAACACAGAAGCUUUAAAGGAUAGCAAGCGUGAUAAGAUUUUAAUGUUCACGUUGUACUCUAUGUAGGAGUACCACUCUUAUAGGUCUUAACAUAAAGACAUCAUGUGAAAUUGGUCAUAUAACUAAAACAACAUUUAUAAUGGAACGUAUAACCACCGAACCUGA